AGUGAACGCUGGCGGUAGGCCUAACACAUGCAAGUCGAACGGCAGCACAGUAAGAGCUUGCUCUUACGGGUGGCGAGUGGCGGACGGGUGAGGAAUACAUCGGAAUCUACUUUUUCGUGGGGGAUAACGUAGGGAAACUUACGCUAAUACCGCAUACGACCUACGGGUGAAAGCAGGGGAUCUUCGGACCUUGCGCGAUUGAAUGAGCCGAUGUCGGAUUAGUUAGUUGGCGGGGUAAAGGCCCACCAAGGCGACGAUCCGUAGCUGGUCUGAGAGGAUGAUCAGCCACACUGGAACUGAGACACGGUCCAGACUCCUACGGGAGGCAGCAGUGGGGAAUAUUGGACAAUGGGCGCAAGCCUGAUCCAGCCAUACCGCGUGGGUGAAGAAGGCCUUCGGGUUGUAAAGCCCCUUUGUUGGGAAAGAAAAGCAGCAGGUUAAUACCCCGCUGUUCUGACGGUACCCAAAGAAUAAGCACCGGCUAACUUCGUG
Molecule: ribosomal RNA, 492 nt
Filed under: uncultured bacterium
Lineage: Bacteria
Description: partial 16S ribosomal RNA
Rfam family: Bacterial small subunit ribosomal RNA
Source: RNAcentral